ACAGAAAAAAUCGGGGGUUCAAAGAAGCAACUCCACUUGUUCUCCUCGUUCCUUCCACUCAAUCGCGCGCCCUAUCUCAUCGCCGUCGCCGAAAUAGGUACGUUUUCCUUCCACAUUCUUCAUCGAUUGCGCGCGGUUGGCUUUUGCUUCGUCGGACUCCCUCCAGAUCUAGGGUUUGCUCUCUUUGCCGAUCUGUUUACUUUUUGGUUCCUGGGAAAUUAAGGGAUUACUCUAUCAUCUGCUGUUCUUUAAUUUUCCUGGAAACUACAAGGAUUAAUCUUCGUUUUUAUGUUCUGUGUUCGCCCUAACAACUAUCAGGAAAUUACUGGCGGAACUCAAUCUUCUUCAAACGAGCGAGGAAUUUCUUGUUGGGAAUUGGGUAUUUGAACGUUUGAGAUUUUAUACACAUUGAUUUGUUUGGGUAAAGUUUGGUGUGUUGUUAUUGGAAUUUCUUCCAUCUAUCCAAGGUAUUAGAAUGGUGGUGUGAAUUUUGAUGUCGUGGAGGCCUUGGUGGGUUGAUUUGAUUUAGUUUUUCUUUUGGGGGGGAAUUUAAGGGUUUAAUAUCUGCGCAAACCUAAUAAUCGAGGAGAAUUAGGUUUGAUGGCUGAUCGUAAUUUGGUUGUCGCAAAACCAAUCUGGAUGAAGCAGGCUGAAGAGGCUAAACUUAAGAGCGAAGCUGAGAAAGAUGCAGCGGCUAAAGCUGCUUUCGAAGCUACUUUUAAAGGCGUAGAUAAGAUUCCUGCAAAAGAAGCAGCAUCCUCAGAUAGUGAUUUUGAAGAUAAUGAGGAUUUGGAACGCAAGCCAAUUGGGCCUGUGGACCCUGCUAGAUGCACAGCAGCUGGAGCAGGCAUAGCUGGUGGUGCCGCGUGUGUGCCAGCAUCCUUUACUGUGGUAACCAAGGAUGUCGAUGGAAGGAAAGUUCCCCAUGGUGGUGCACUAAUUAAAGUAAAGGUGGCUCCUGGCGUAGGUGUUGGUGGAACCGAGCAAGAUGGCAUUGUGAAGGAUAUGAAUGAUGGUACAUAUACGAUCACUUAUGUGGUGCCAAAAAGAGGAAAUUACAUGGUUAAUAUUGAGUGCAACGGAAGACCCAUCAUGGGUAGUCCAUUCCCAGUGUUCUUUAGUGCAGGGACAAGUUCAGGUGGACUCCUGGGAUUAGCUCCGGCAUCCUCAUUUCCAAAUUUGGUGAAUCAAAAUAUGCCCAAUAUGCCUAAUUACUCCGGGUCUGUUUCGGGAGCAUUUCCUGGGCUGAUGGGAAUGAUUCCUGGCAUUGUAGCUGGUGCUUCUGGUGGUGCUAUCUUGCCUGGAAUUGGAGCAUCUCUUGGAGAAGUAUGUCGAGAAUACCUUAAUGGUCAGUGCGCGAAAACAGAUUGCAAGUUAAAUCAUCCACCUCACAAUUUGCUCAUGACUGCAAUAGCUGCAACAACCAGUAUGGGAACUAUCAGUCAAGUGCCUAUGGCCCCUUCUGCUGCUGCUAUGGCAGCUGCUCAGGCUAUUGUUGCUGCCCAAGCCCUUCAAGCCCAUGCUGCUCAAGUGCAAGCUCAGCAAGCUCAGUCUGCAAAAGACUCUUCUGGUUCAUCUGACAAAUCUGGAAAGGCUGCUGAUGCACUGAAGAGAACACUGCAAGUUAGCAAUCUUAGCCCACUUCUCACCGUGGAACAACUGAAGCAGCUUUUUAGUUUUUGUGGAACUGUUGUUGAAUGUACCAUUACUGAUUCAAAGCAUUUUGCUUACAUAGAAUACUCAAAGCCCGAAGAAGCUACUGCAGCUUUGGCAUUGAACAAUAUGGAUGUUGGAGGUCGACCUUUAAAUGUAGAGAUGGCAAAGUCACUUCCACAGAAACCAGCUGCCGCGAACCCUUCACUUGCUUCAUCUUCUCUGCCCAUGAUGAUGCAGCAAGCUGUAGCCAUGCAACAAAUGCAAUUCCAGCAGGCUUUGUUGAUGCAGCAAACUAUGACAGCUCAGCAGGCUGCUAAUCGUGCAGCAACUAUGAAGUCUGCAACAGAGUUGGCAGCAGCUAGAGCAGCAGAAAUAAGCAAAAAACUUAAAGUUGAUGGAAUUGGGAAUGAAGAAACUGAGACAAAAGAAAAAUCAAGAUCGCCUUCCUUGCCCAGGGAGAGGUCAAAAUCCAAAUCAAAAUCACCUAUCAAGUACCGAAGCAGGCGGAGGUCUCCAACUUAUUCACCUCCGUAUCGUCACUCAAGAGAUCAUAGAUCUAGAUCACCAGUGAGAUCUCGCCACUAUUCUAGGUACGAAGACGAUAGGAGGGGUUAUAGAGAAUCGAGAGAAGCGAGUGAAAGAUCUAGAAGGCGUGAUCUAGAUAGAUCAAGAAGUCGUCGUUCACCCAUCUCAAGGAAAAAUAGAAGUAGAAGCAUAAGUCCUCGCAGAAGAAAAUCAUACAGAGCAGGUUCUGAUUCUCCUAGUCACCAACGGGAGCGUUCACCACAAAGAGGUAGGAAAUCAGAUCAUUCUGAUUUAAGGUCACCUAUUCGCCAUCAUGGGAAAAGCAGAUCAUCCCCAAGAAAGGAUGACAGUGACAAACUAAAACAUAGAAGACGGUCAAGGUCUAAAUCUGUCGAGACGAAGCAUCAUUCUGAUGAAAAAAUUAAUGAAAUGCAACAUGGAAAAUUGAAAAAUCGGGAAAGAAGGCGAUCAAGAUCUGCUUCUCUGGAAGACAAGCAUAGUAAAAGAAGACCCUCGCCUAGAAGCCUGGACAAAAACAUUUCUAAACAUAGAAGGCGUUCUAGAUCAAACUCUAGGGAAAAGGUUGAUGAUAAAUAUCAUGGUAGAAGGCGUUCGCGGUCAAGUUCUUCAGAUAGCAAACAUCUCCCUGAUAGUAAGGUGGAUAGCACUAGAUAUGAAAAACUGAAAAAUCGUAGCAGAAGAAGAUCCAGGUCAAAGUCUGUAGAUGGUAAGCAUCGCAGGAGGGAGAAAUCAGAUAGAAGCAGAGACAAAAGGUUGAGGCAUCGUGAUAGAAGGUCAUCCAGAUCUAUAUCUCCUGAGGCUGGACAUCAACGAGUGACCAGGCUGUCUCCUACCAGUUCUGAUGAAACCAAAUCAAAACGUAGAAGGAGAUCACUCUCUCCUGAAGAUAAGCCUAGUGAUAUAGAUAAUGGAUGCAUAGCUGAAAAUCCAAAGAAUCUUGGGAGACAGCAGUCUAGAUCAAAUUCAAUUUCAGGAGAAAAUGGUGAAAGUAAUUUAUCUCCAAGUACAGAGGAAAAUGAAUUUAAACAUGGUGAGCAGUCAAUACUAGAACCUCUAGGAGGGCAUGGAUCUAGUCUCUCAAAGGUUAUAGAAGAUAUACCAGGAGAUGAUAAGGGUAGAGAAGGGUUAACUUCCCAAUAUUCUAAUGUUGAGGAACCAAACAAAACCGAAGUGGCUGGUGUUGAGCAAGUUGAUUUAGCUGGAAGUUAGAGUUUAAUGGAGGUUGUAAUUUUGCAAGUUCUCCUUGGAUAAUGCUGACAGAAGAGGCUCAAUAUCACCUUAAUACAGAUGCAAUUUCUGGUGAUUGACGUUCAGGAGAUGAAGUUACAUUCAAAAUUUGUCAUGGAAAUGCUUUACUGUAACUCAUGAAUCACAUGAUUAGAAGACUGUUGCGGACUUGAAUACCUUGAUAACCUAGGACAAAUUUCAGGCUGGCUUGUUGGCGCAUUCAAGGGCACCCAUUGCUUCAUUUGAGAAAGGACUACUUGAUUGAAGAUUUGUUUCCAUUUCUUUGGGUGCUCAGAAAAUUCUGAUUUUUAGUUUUCAUCCAGCUCUUUUGUCUUUGGUUAUCUUUUGCAGGUUGGCAGGCUAUAGUCUCUUAGACUCUUUCAGUUGAUGUUGGUCUGCUUUAAGCGUUUGAAGUAUUGCUGUCCUUUUGUCUACGAGACAAGACACCCUGAAUCUGUAUCGAGCUUCUUUUACUACUUGAUGUUAUUCGGGGUGAUUGUCAUUGGAGGUUUGUCAGGGUUGAUUUUCUCUUGUUUACACGAAGGCAAAGGUAUCAUUAAAGGUCGGUUGAAACCAGAUGUUGCUGAGAUAAAUUGCAUCAAAAUUUCCUCCUUCUGGGUAUGAUCAGAAUGGCUGACUCACUUGGAAGCAUUUUAUUCACGGUGAAUUGCAAAUAUAUAUAUGGCAGGUAAUCUUGUAUGCAACUGCUUGGUUGAAGAUAUUUAUAGGGGAAUCUAUAGGUUUGGACUCCAUUAUUUUGGUGGAUUUGUUCAUAAAAAUAAAAUAAAAUAAAAUAAGCGGUAUAUGAUCAAAGUGAACCUUUUACUCACAAUGGUGACUUCUUUGAGGGGAUAGGAAAGUGCAUGUUGGACAAUGAGUCUACGAUGCUACUCUUAAUGGCUACAGGUUUUCUUUUCUUUUAAUAACUUCUUUUGUAGCUCUGAUGUCUUUGACUAAUAAAUAGUACUCCUGAGUUUAAAAAGUAACCAUCCUGAUCCAUGAAAUUGAUUGUUGAUUGUUUGUGGGAGAAUAUUAGUAUAAGCUACACAAAUGGUGUAUCUGAUUGCUGGUUGCUUGUAGUGUAGUAGUGAUAGAUAUUGGUUUGGGUAAUAACAUAAUGUUUAGUCAUUUUCUCUCCUCCCACUCCACUUCUCCUGGUCUUUCCUUUUCAAGUAAUUUCUUGGUAGGAUAACCUGCAAAACGACGGUAUGAGAGCUGCAGUCUUUGAUUUCGAACUCGGGUUGCGACUUGGAUGAGGUGGAUGUCAAUGUCUUAGUUUGUGCUCGGUCUAAUGUUUCUGAAGGAACUGAGAACCAAGCUAUAGUGUGUUGAACCUCACAGCUUGUGUCUUCAUCAUGUUUAUGUCAACCUGGCUAGGAUAGGUUAGAAUUUUUUGCAUCAAUUUUGAAUAGUUGGGAUUAAAGAAAUCCAGAUUCUUUCUUGUUCUGGAUUGAUUAAAUUUGAGAUUUAUAAACUAGUUUUCAUUUUACAUUUAAUUUCUUAAAGCAAUGUUUAGCUUCA
RNA transcript from Cucumis sativus (cucumber), 4950 nucleotides. It is a transcript of the gene named serine/arginine repetitive matrix protein 2, with no coding region annotated. The transcript is spliced from 8 exons. Lineage: Eukaryota; Viridiplantae; Streptophyta; Magnoliopsida; Cucurbitales; Cucurbitaceae. The record is from RefSeq and is a predicted model, not a curated record.